This 911-nucleotide ribosomal RNA is filed under the name uncultured archaeon 19a-4. RNAcentral's name for it is "bacterial SSU rRNA". It matches the Rfam family "Archaeal small subunit ribosomal RNA", at positions 4 to 921 of the family's 1478-position model. The record is from RNAcentral.
CUGGUUGAUCCUGCCGGACCUGACUGCUAUCGGAUUGAUACUAAGCCAUGCGAGUCAUUGUAGCAAUACAAGGCAGACGGCUCAGUAACGCGUAGUCAACCUACCCUAUGGACGGGAAUAACCUCGGGAAACUGAGUAUAAUGCCCGAUAGAACACUAUACCUGGAAUGGUUUGUGUUCCAAAUGAUUUAUCGCCAUAGGAUGGGACUGCGGCCUAUCAGUUUGUUGGUGAGGUAAUGGCCCACCAAGACUAUUACAGGUACGGGCUCUGAGAGGAGUGGCCCGGAGAUGGGUACUGAGACACGGACCCAGGCCCUAUGGGGCGCAGCAGGCGAGAAAACUUUGCAAUGUGCGAAAGCACGACAAGGUUAAUCCGAGUGGUUUCUGCUAAAGGAACCUUUUGUUAGUUCUAGAAAUACUGAUGAAUAAGGGGUGGGCAAGUUCUGGUGUCAGCCGCCGCGGUAAAACCAGCACCUCAAGUGGUCAGGAUGAUUAUUGGGCCUAAAGCAUCCGUAGCCGGCUCUGUUAGUUUUCGGUUAAAUCUGUACGCUUAACGUACAGGCUGCCGGGAAUACUGCAGAGCUAGGGAGUGGGAGAGGUAGACGGUACUCGGUAGGAAGGGGUAAAAUCCUUUGAUCUAUUGAUGACCACCUGUGGCGAAGGCGGUCUACCAGAACACGUCCGACGGUGAGGGAUGAAAGCUGGGGGAGCAAACCGGAUUAGAUACCCGGGUAGUCCCAGCUGUAAACUAUGCAAACUCAGUGAUGCAUUGGCUUGUGGCCAAUGCAGUGCUGCAGGGAAGCCGUUAAGUUUGCCGCCUGGGAAGUACGUACGCAAGUAUGAAACUUAAAGGAAUUGGCGGGGGAGCACCACAAGGGGUGAAGCCUGCGGUUCAAUUGGAGUCAACGCCGG